RNAcentral lists this long non-coding RNA (743 nucleotides) under Ursus maritimus (polar bear). Its description in RNAcentral is "lncRNA (ENSUMAG00000012849.1)". The record is from RNAcentral. Lineage: Eukaryota; Metazoa; Chordata; Mammalia; Carnivora; Ursidae.
GCCGGAGCAGGAUUGCAGUCUUCUCUGAGCAGGAGACCCUCCCUUGAAUCCCGGCACUGGGACGUCUCACCCUCUCGCGGCACCUGUUGCAGGUGACAGAGACGUCGAGUCCCCUUUUCGGUGGUUCCUCGAUCAGCGCUUGGUCGUCGCGCCGGGUCUCAGUCUCGCACAGCUUCCGGACCUCAGACCUCGCGACGUCAACUUCUCCAGCCUCCAUAGGACCGUCAAAGCUCUGGAAACUGUAAAAAGACCAGCACAAACAACUUGCUUGCACCAAGUUUACUGAUCAUAGACUGCUGCAACGCUUUAGCUCUAACGGAAAAUGGGAUCUAGUUUCCUUUUCCUUUUAUUCUUUAUUUUAUUAUUACUUUUUCAUUUAUUUUAUUUUCUUCCUUUUUAAAUAUUUUUACCCAGUCUCUGGCCAUUCCCUUUUGAUCUUCUUUGAACUUCUUUCUUAUCUACUUUGGAAACUUUGGUGUGACUAGGGAUCUGACUACAUGUUUAUUACUUGACCCAACAAAAAAUAAUACAUAAGUUUUCUGUUCUCCUUCCACAUCCCAUUCCCCAGACAUAACAAUAUUAAAUUUUUAUCUCUUUCCAGACAUUUUCCAUGCCUGUAUAAAAUAUUUAUUUCCAUCCAUCCAUCCAUCCAUCCAUCCAUCCAUUCUGUCUGUACUUAUAUGUUAAAAAUACAAAUGGAAUCAUAAUGUGUAUGUUUUGUAAUGGAUUUUUACUUAAUAUUU